This 310-nucleotide ribosomal RNA is filed under the name uncultured Marinomonas sp. Its description in RNAcentral is "bacterial SSU rRNA". It matches the Rfam family "Bacterial small subunit ribosomal RNA", at positions 103 to 416 of the family's 1533-position model. Lineage: Bacteria; Pseudomonadati; Pseudomonadota; Gammaproteobacteria; Oceanospirillales; Oceanospirillaceae. The record is from RNAcentral.
CGGGAGAGAAACGCGUAGGAAUCUGCCUGGUAGUGGGGGACAACAUGUGGAAACGCAUGCUAAUACCGCAUACGCCCUACGGGGGAAAGGAGGGGAUCUUCGGACCUUUCGCUAUCAGAUGAGCCUGCGUGAGAUUAGCUAGUUGGUGGGGUAAAGGCUCACCAAGGCGACGAUCUCUAGCUGGUCUGAGAGGAUGAUCAGCCACACUGGGACUGAGACACGGCCCAGACUCCUACGGGAGGCAGCAGUGGGGAAUAUUGGACAAUGGGCGCAAGCCUGAUCCAGCCAUGCCGCGUGUGUGAAGAAGGCC